UAGCAUAUCAAUAAGCGCAGGAAAAGAAACCAACAGGGAUUGCCUCAGUAACGGCGAGUGAAGCGGCAACAGCUCAAAUUUGAAAUCUGGCCUCUUGGGGUCCGAGUUGUAAUUUGUAGAGGAUGUUUCGGGUACCGCCUCGGUUUAAAUUUCUUGGAACAGAAUGUCAAAGAGGGUGAGAAUCCCGUCUUGGACCGGCGGUAGGGCCUAUGUGAAACUCCUUCGACGAGUCGAGUUGUUUGGGAAUGCAGCUCAAAAUGGGUGGUAAAUUUCAUCUAAAGCUAAAUAUUGGCCAGAGACCGAUAGCGCACAAGUAGAGUGAUCGAAAGAUGAAAAGCACUUUGAAAAGAGAGUUAAACAGUAUGUGAAAUUGUUGAAAGGGAAGCGCUUGCAACCAGACUUGAGCGCGGCGGUUCCCCCUUGCUUCUGCUUGGGUUACUCCGCCGUGUCCAGGCCAACAUCGGUUCUGGGGGUCGGUCAAAGGCUCUGGGAAUGUAUCUACCCACGGGUAGACUUAUAGACCAGGGUGUCAUGCGACCUCCCGGGACCGAGGAACGCGCUUCGGCUCGGAUGUUGGCGUAAUGGUUGUCAGCGACCCGUCUUGAAACACGGACCAAGGAGUCUAACAUCUAUGCGAGUGUUUGGGUGUCAAACCCGGAACGCGGAAUGAAAGUGAACGGAGGUAGGAAGCUUCGGCUGCACUAUCGACCGAUCCUGAAGUUUACGGAUGGAUUUGAGUAAGAGCAUAGCUGUUGGGACCCGAAAGAUGGUGAACUAUGCCUGAAUAGGGUGAAGCCAGAGGAAACUCUGGUGGAGGCUCGCAGCGGUUCUGACGUGCAAAUCGAUCGUCAAAUUUGGGUAUAGGGGCGAAAGACUAAUCGAACCAUCUGGUAGCUGGUUCCUG
Molecule: ribosomal RNA, 904 nt
Filed under: Fonsecaea pedrosoi
Lineage: Eukaryota; Fungi; Ascomycota; Eurotiomycetes; Chaetothyriales; Herpotrichiellaceae
Description: LSU rRNA
Rfam family: Eukaryotic large subunit ribosomal RNA
Source: RNAcentral